Schistocerca americana (American grasshopper) is the source of this 736-nucleotide long non-coding RNA. RefSeq lists it as uncharacterized. The transcript has 2 exons. NCBI's taxonomy places the organism in Eukaryota, Metazoa, Arthropoda, Insecta, Orthoptera, Acrididae. The record is from RefSeq and is a predicted model, not a curated record.
UCAAUUUUUGAAUGGUGCGGGCCUUGUUGCCCGCACUACCGUAUUUAAUAUAAGUUUAGGUUACAUUGAUUGAUUGAUAUUCAGUAAGUUAUUCAAUGAUUGGUGUCGCAGUUCACGAAUUCGCUAACAACAUUUAUCCCUGUCCUAUUUCGGCGAUUUCUGCUAUUAAUCACGGUAGAUGUUACACGGUCAUUUGCCGCCAAUGAGACUUGCCCACAGGCAAAAUUUCAACGAAACAGUCAUUAUGAAGUAUGUAUUACUUACGUCCUUCCUUUGGCUUUACUUUAAAUUGUUAGUUUAAUUUAAAUUAAUAGUGUUAUGUCGAGAAUCAUAACAGCAAUUACCACACUGGUCCAUAGGAGUUCAUGUUUAGAAUGUGUUCUGAACACGUUUUUACGCCUUCACAAGUACCUGAACCACAAGUAAGUCAGUCGAUGUAGCGAUAAUUCAAAAUAUCAGUGAUAACAGAACUGGAAAAGUUGUCACGUCGGCUUUACACCAUCUUCGACAGAAGUAAGACACAGUUCCCAUUUCGAUUAGUGGAUGCUCUAUGUACCCAGCCACAUCUAAAAGAGAUAAUCACGAAGAUUCAAAAUGACUCGUCAAGAAUUCCCAGCGUAAAAGAGCCAUAGUUGAUAAUAAACUGUGCAAAAUGAGUAUUGGUACAGUGCGUAACUGAAGACGUUAUGUGAUAAGAAAGGGAUGCUAAAUAAAUGUGAACUAUACUGUAAUUGAA